Molecule: non-coding RNA, 320 nt
Organism: Parasteatoda tepidariorum (common house spider)
Lineage: Eukaryota; Metazoa; Arthropoda; Arachnida; Araneae; Theridiidae
Source: RefSeq, a predicted model, not a curated record
AACUUUAAUUUUCUGCACUUGGUGAUCGACUUCUGAGUUUUUGUGCUGAUUCUCAUUUGACUUUAUUUUUGUUGCAAAGAAAAACAUCACCAGCGAGUAGUGUGCUACAAGUCACUAGGCUCUUAGAACUUGAUGUUUCAAAUUUAGUGUUCCAUCCCGCUUGUGUGAUUUCUGCUAUUUUAACUUCUUUAUGUACAGAAACAGUGAGAUGGCCACGAAAAGGAGAUGAAAGUAUACUGUUAUACAUAUGUGGUCGAUUGCUUUUACUACAGCAAGAUCCUGUUGUUAAGACAUCGGAUAUUACCAACAAUAAUACUCAG